CAUACUUCUUCAAGUCUAAUUUAGUCGUAUAUAUCUAUUUUCAUUAGGGUUAAUUUUAUACACAUCUCUGCAAAUAUAGUGAAUAAUAAAUAUAUUUCUAUAAAAUUCAACUUUCAUAUGUUGUUUUUAUAAAAAUCCUCAUGAUGUUUUCAAAUAUGUCCCUACCGUUAGAAUCCGUUAGAAAAAUUUAGUUAAUCAUAAGUUAAAUACUUUACCCUAAUUAAUUUUUGACAUUUUUACUCCAUUAUACUGUUAUGGUUUUUGCAGAGACAUAUUUAUGAUGUCAAAAUUGAAAAUUUAAACAGUUCUUUAACGAUAACAAACUAGAGGAAUAUAUUUGAGAAUAUUAAAACUUUUACAGAAACAACAUAUGAACAUUGAACUUUGUAGGAAUAUAUUUACUAUUCACUAUAUUUACAGUGAGCUAUAUAAAAUUAACCCUUUUCAUUAAUAUAUAUCACAAUAAGAUAAUUUCAUUAUAAGAACGCUAUUUUGAAAGAAGCGUCCAAUAUAGUAAACAUCAACACUUCAAAAAAAUGUCGUCAUAUUAACCGUCUAUCGUCCCAAACCAAUUUAUUGAAUGACAAAUUUCACUAUUAUUCUUAAUAUUUCAAUGCUUUAAAGCAUCGUGAUAUCAAAAACUCCUUAUGUUUUAAAACGUUGGAAUAUAUUUCACUAGCACUUGGCAUAAGUGUCGGUAUAUAUAUGUGAUAAUUUUUUAUUUGCCGACACCUUUAAAUAUGAUGACGGGCUAUUGUAAAACAUUUUUAAGUAUCGUUAAAUAUAUAAAUAAAAA
Molecule: long non-coding RNA, 796 nt
Filed under: Ananas comosus (pineapple)
Lineage: Eukaryota; Viridiplantae; Streptophyta; Magnoliopsida; Poales; Bromeliaceae
Description: long non-coding RNA (ACOM_LNC027618)
Source: RNAcentral